Molecule: transfer RNA, 72 nt
Filed under: Candidatus Bathyarchaeota archaeon
Lineage: Archaea; Thermoproteati; Candidatus Bathyarchaeota
Description: tRNA-Cys
Rfam family: tRNA
About the family: Transfer RNA (tRNA) molecules are approximately 80 nucleotides in length. Their secondary structure includes four short double-helical elements and three loops (D, anti-codon, and T loops).
Source: RNAcentral
GCCGGGGUGGCCGAGUGGCGAGGCAACGGGCUGCAGACCCGUUAUACAGGGGUUCAAAUCCCCUCCCCGGCU